GCAGAGAUGGAAUGUCAUCCUCAAGCAGCUCUCUAGUAUUAAGUGUUGUAAAUGUCAUAAACACUCAUCACAUGUUUAAACAAGUCCAAGCAUAUGGGCGCCUACACACACACACACACACACACACACUUUUACCAUUCCUGUUCUUAUGAAUGUCUCCUCCAGCUUCACCCCUGUCUUGAUCCGUAAUGUUUUCUUCCUUAAGUGAUGCUCGAUGAGUAACUCGUCCUCUCCUGUCCCCCAUCUUCAUCCCCUGACACAGCGUCUGUACCUGGACAGGUAGCCGUUCCUCAACUCAGGGCUGGAGAAACUGAUUUCACUUCCAGAAUCUCCGAGAAUGUGGAAACGUCCUGCUGUGAGCUGUGGAGCGGCGGAGCAGGACACGCUGAGGGUUUGAGUCGCAGAAUCGCUGUGGAGACGCAGAAAUCUCAGUUGGACAACGUCGAGGUGCCAAUAUUCAACCUACAGAGAGCAGAAUCACACAAACACCAAGUACAACUUUAACAUAAACUGGAGACCAAACACAAAAUAACAAACUAACCUGAGAUUUAUUUUUAUUAAAGAAUCAAAUCUUCAGAACUUUACAUUAAAAUGUUUUUUUUUUUA
Neoarius graeffei (lesser salmon catfish) is the source of this 606-nucleotide long non-coding RNA. RefSeq lists it as uncharacterized. The record is from RefSeq and is a predicted model, not a curated record. Lineage: Eukaryota; Metazoa; Chordata; Actinopteri; Siluriformes; Ariidae. The transcript is spliced from 2 exons.